Molecule: ribosomal RNA, 765 nt
Filed under: Vreelandella aquamarina
Lineage: Bacteria; Pseudomonadati; Pseudomonadota; Gammaproteobacteria; Oceanospirillales; Halomonadaceae
Description: bacterial SSU rRNA
Rfam family: Bacterial small subunit ribosomal RNA
Source: RNAcentral
GUGGCUUGGCGCGGCUACCAUGCAAGUCGAGCGGUAACAGAUCCAGCUUGCUGGAUGCUGACGAGCGGCGGACGGGUGAGUAAUGCAUAGGAAUCUGCCCGAUAGUGGGGGAUAACCUGGGGAAACCCAGGCUAAUACCGCAUACGUCCUACGGGAGAAAGGGGGCUUCGGCUCCCGCUAUCGGAUGAGCCUAUGUCGGAUUAGCUAGUUGGUGAGGUAACGGCUCACCAAGGCGACGAUCCGUAGCUGGUCUGAGAGGAUGAUCAGCCACAUCGGGACUGAGACACGGCCCGAACUCCUACGGGAGGCAGCAGUGGGGAAUAUUGGACAAUGGGGGGAACCCUGAUCCAGCCAUGCCGCGUGUGUGAAGAAGGCCCUCGGGUUGUAAAGCACUUUCAGCGAGGAAGAACGCCUAGCGGUUAAUACCCGCUAGGAAAGACAUCACUCGCAGAAGAAGCACCGGCUAACUCCGUGCCAGCAGCCGCGGUAAUACGGAGGGUGCAAGCGUUAAUCGGAAUUACUGGGCGUAAAGCGCGCGUAGGUGGCUUGAUAAGCCGGUUGUGAAAGCCCCGGGCUCAACCUGGGAACGGCAUCCGGAACUGUCAAGCUAGAGUGCAGGAGAGGAAGGUAGAAUUCCCGGUGUAGCGGUGAAAUGCGUAGAGAUCGGGAGGAAUACCAGUGGCGAAGGCGGCCUUCUGGACUGACACUGACACUGAGGUGCGAAAGCGUGGGUAGCAAACAGGAUUAGAUACCUCGGGUAGUCAA